RNAcentral lists this unclassified non-coding RNA (279 nucleotides) under Hevea brasiliensis (rubber tree). The record is from RNAcentral. Lineage: Eukaryota; Viridiplantae; Streptophyta; Magnoliopsida; Malpighiales; Euphorbiaceae.
AGAUCAUUACUCAAAGAUUGGGUGUCCCCUUUGUACAGGCCUCGAAGAUAUCUCCAUGAGCUCUCAUUCUCAGGGUUAGCUAAAAUGGCCUCAACUGUAUAUUUCACUUCAGACUCUCUCAUGGUUUUUAGGCCUCCAAGGAAGGGAGAUCGAGUUAUAACAAAAUAUCUCUGAUUCCAAGCAGAGUUGUUAAACACAUCAUCUUCAAGAAGCUGCCCACAGUAGUCAAGUUCAUCUUCCCAUCCUCCUAAAGCCUGCAGUACCCACUGCCUGUGGGAC